Non-coding RNA from Trichonephila clavipes, 73 nucleotides. The record is from the annotation of a GenBank genome assembly. Lineage: Eukaryota; Metazoa; Arthropoda; Arachnida; Araneae; Nephilidae.
GUCCCUAUAUCGCAAUGGAUAGCGUUUUGAAAUUCCAAUACAAAGGUCGUGGGUUCGAAUCUCACCUGGGAUA